CGUUUGACCUCGGAUCAGGUAGGGAUACCCGCUGAACUUAAGCAUAUCAAUAAGCGGAGGAAAAAGAAACCAACAGGGAUUGCCCUAGUAACGGCGAGUGAAGCGGCAACAGCUCAAAUUUGAAAUCUGGCUCUUUUAGAGUCCGAGUUGUAAUUUGCAGAGGGCGCUUUGGCUUUGGCAGCGGUCCAAGUUCCUUGGAACAGGACGUCACAGAGGGUGAGAAUCCCGUACGUGGUCGCUAGCUAUUGCCGUGUAAAGCCCCUUCGACGAGUCGAGUUGUUUGGGAAUGCAGCUCUAAAUGGGAGGUAAAUUUCUUCUAAAGCUAAAUAUUGGCCAGAGACCGAUAGCGCACAAGUAGAGUGAUCGAAAGAUGAAAAGCACUUUGGAAAGAGAGUCAAACAGCACGUGAAAUUGUUGAAAGGGAAGCGCUUGCAGCCAGACUUGCUUGCAGUUGCUCAUCCGGGCUUUUGCCCGGUGCACUCUUCUGCAGGCAGGCCAGCAUCAGUUUGGGCGGUGGGAUAAAGGUCUCUGACACGUUCCUUCCUUCGGGUUGGCCAUAUAGGGGAGACGUCAUACCACCAGCCUGGACUGAGGUCCGCGCAUCUGCUAGGAUGCUGGCGUAAUGGCUGUAAGCGGCCCGUCUUGAAACACGGACCAAGGAGUCUAACAUCUAUGCGAGUGUUUGGGUGUCAAGCCCGAGCGCGUAAUGAAAGUGAACGGAGGUGGGAACCCGCAAGGGUGCACCAUCGACCGAUCCUGAAGUUUACGGAAGGAUUUGAGUAAGAGCAUGGCUGUUGGGACCCGAAAGAUGGUGAACUAUGCUUGAAUAGGGUGAAGCCAGAGGAAACUCUGGUGGAGGCUCGCAGCGGUUCUGACGUGCAAAUCGAUCGUCAAAUU
This 897-nucleotide ribosomal RNA is filed under the name uncultured Ascomycota. Its description in RNAcentral is "eukaryotic LSU rRNA". It matches the Rfam family "Eukaryotic large subunit ribosomal RNA", at positions 1 to 911 of the family's 3401-position model. The record is from RNAcentral. Lineage: Eukaryota; Fungi; Ascomycota.